AGCUUGCUAAUAAUUCUCUAGUGGCGCACGGGUGAGUAACACGUGAGUACCUGCCCCCAAGAGUGGGAUAGCCCCGGGAAACUGGGAUUAAUACCGCAUAAAGCAAUAAAGCAGCAAUGCGCUUGGGGAUGGGCUCGCGUCCUAUUAGUUAGUUGGUGAGGUAACGGCUCACCAAGGCGAUGACGGGUAGCCGGUCUGAGAGGAUGUCCGGCCACACUGGAACUGAGACACGGUCCAGACACCUACGGGUGGCAGCAGUCGAGAAUCAUUCACAAUGGGGGAAACCCUGAUGGUGCGACGCCGCGUGGGGGAUAAGGUCUUCGGAUUGUAAACCCCUGUCAUGUGGGACAUUAAAAGAUAGUACCACAAGAGGAAGAGACGGCUAACUCUGUGCCAGCAGCCGCGGUAAUACAGAGGUCUCAAGCGUUGUUCGGAAUCACUGGGCGUAAAGCGUGCGUAGGCGGUUUCGUAAGUCGUGUGUGAAAGGCGGGGGCUCAACCCCCGGACUGCACAUGAUACUGCGAGACUAGAGUAAUGGAGGGGGAACCGGAAUUCUCGGUGUAGCAGUGAAAUGCGUAGAUAUCGAGAGGAACACUCGUGGCGAAGGCGGGUUCCUGGACAUUAACUGACGCUGAGGCACGAAGGCCAGGGGAGCGAAAGGGAUUAGAUACCCCUGUAGUC
Molecule: ribosomal RNA, 681 nt
Filed under: uncultured bacterium
Lineage: Bacteria
Description: bacterial SSU rRNA
Rfam family: Bacterial small subunit ribosomal RNA
Source: RNAcentral